GAUGAACGUUGGCGGCGUGCCUAACACAUGCAAGUUGAGCGUGGCAUUAGUUUACUAAUGUCUAGCAGCGGACGGCUGAGUAAUGCACAGGAACGUACCUCGAAGUGGAGGAUAGCCCAUCGAAAGAUGGGGUAAUACUGCAUGUGAUCGUAAGAUCAAAGCCGAAAGGCGCUUUGAGAGCGGCCUGUGUCCUAUCAGGUUGUUGGUGGGUAAAUGCCACCAAGCCUAUGACGGUAACUGGUCUGAGAGAUGACCAGUCAGAUCGGGACUGAGACACGGCCCGAACUCC
This 289-nucleotide ribosomal RNA is filed under the name uncultured bacterium. RNAcentral describes it as "partial 16S ribosomal RNA". It matches the Rfam family "Bacterial small subunit ribosomal RNA", at positions 28 to 339 of the family's 1533-position model. The record is from RNAcentral.